UCAAAAACAUGUCUUUUUGUUAAUAAUUUAAAGUCUAAUCUGCCCACUGAUAUAAUUAUUAAAGGGCUGCAGUAUAUUGACUGUACAAAGGUAGCAUAAUCAUUAGUCUUUUAAUUGAAGACUUGUAUGAAAGAUUUGAUGAAAUAUAAACUGUCUCUAUUUUAAGAAUAAAAUUUAAUUUUUUAGUUAAAAAGCUAAAAUAUUAUUAAAAGACGAGAAGACCCUAUAAAGUUUUAUAAUUUGUUUAUUUAAUAUUAAAUAUAUAAUUAAAUAUAAUAAUUAAUUAAAUUAUUUUGUUGGGGUGAUAGAAAAAUUUAAUAAACUUUUUUUUAACAUAAACAUACAUAAGUGAAAAAAUGAUCCAUUAUUAAUGAUUAAAAGAAAAAAUUACUUUAGGGAUAACAGCGUAAUAUUUUUUUUUAGUACAAAUAAAAAGAAAAGUUUGCGACCUCGAUGUUGGAUUAAGAUAAAAUUUAAAUGCAAAAGUUUAAAAUUUUGAUCUGUUCGAUCAUUAAAAUCUUACAUGAUCUGAGCU
This 535-nucleotide ribosomal RNA is filed under the name Chlosyne cyneas. RNAcentral describes it as "partial 16S ribosomal RNA". The stretch from base 398 to 535 matches the Rfam family "Archaeal large subunit ribosomal RNA", at positions 2542 to 2680 of the family's 2987-position model. Lineage: Eukaryota; Metazoa; Arthropoda; Insecta; Lepidoptera; Nymphalidae. The record is from RNAcentral.